Girardinichthys multiradiatus is the source of this 1338-nucleotide long non-coding RNA. RefSeq lists it as uncharacterized. The record is from RefSeq and is a predicted model, not a curated record. The transcript has 2 exons. Lineage: Eukaryota; Metazoa; Chordata; Actinopteri; Cyprinodontiformes; Goodeidae.
CUCCCAAAUACACUGCCGGCUUCUCACGAUACAGACAGAAAACACCUGCAAGAUCACUCUACAUAUGGUGCAGCCAGCUCCAGCCCCUGAAGUCCAUCCAUCAAAGCACACAUCUGAUAAGUAGGAGGUUUAGACUCAGCACUCCCCUUCUCAAUUGUGGCAGUGAUGAAGCGAACCAUCAGAGCCCAGAUGCACAGUACAUGGCAACAACCACAGGUAACCAUUAUGGCAAAAAAAAAUAGCAAUAGAAAUCAUUAAUGACAUGACUAAACCUUUCCAUUUUCCAAACAUAUCAGUAAACCAUUGCUCCAAUGCAUUGUCAAUCCCUGAAUGCUCGUGCAUAGUUUUACUCAGAGUUCUCAAUCCUUCUAAGGCUCGGGUUGCAGAACCGUCAGGAGCGGUGUUAUUGGGGAUAAAAGUACAACACAUAUCUCCAAACAUGGCACAGACAUCCCCUUUUUCAGCUAGCAACAUAUCCAAUGCCAUUCUGUUUUGUAUGGCCAUGAGAGAGGUGGGGGCUAGUUGUUCUGAGAGACCUUCAACAGCAUCUCGGGUUAAAUUGGCCAGUCGUAGUACAUUGUAAUGAAUAUAAUUAAUGUGGUCUACAUUCUUGUUAGGAGUUAUUGGAAUAAACGGUGAGAUUACGGGGAUAUUUUCAAAGCCUGCUGCUACUUGAUUUGCUAAUUUAUACUCAUCUAGCACUGCUCUAGGCACUCCAAUUGCAUCAAUAUAAGUGGGAGAGUUCUGCGUGAGGUCGAAGGAGUUAGUUGAGCGCUUCCUUAACACAUGUCUGCGCCUCCGAGCUGUUAGGGUAGAGUGUUAUUAGUUCUUUUUAUGACUUCACCAAUUAUCAUCAGUGGUGCCUUUAAUCUGACCAUAGCACACACUCCCCAGGCUUCAUUAGGGAUCCUAUUCAAAAGUCUCCUGUCACCACAAUAAUAGUAUAAACCAGCUCUAGCCCACCUUCCAAUGUUUAAACCAGGUUCAGGUCUGUUACACCAAUCCUGUGGAAUUUCACCUAGAAGCACAAUAGCAUUUGGAGAGAUAAAAUUGAAACAUGUAUAGCUUCCAUUGUUUUUAUAAGGGGUAAAUGGUCCAACGAGAGUUUUAUUGUUAAUUGGUGGAAAAAUAGUAACCAGUGUGGUACAGUUAGUGGGUGUAGCUGCCUUGGUUAGAUUUAGCAUACAGUUAUAGCCCCAAGUAUCAGUGGGGUACAGAGGAGCAGGUUCAGUGUAAAGGGAGGGUCUCGCAGCUGCACAGGCUACACAGUUAGACGUGUGAUUUUCUUGCACGGUCUCAGCCAUCCAUUCUAGCCAUAGGUUAGCUUCAGUAAAUCCU